Molecule: ribosomal RNA, 608 nt
Filed under: Cercaria sp. mutabile
Lineage: Eukaryota; Metazoa; Platyhelminthes; Trematoda
Description: Mutabile cercaria partial large subunit ribosomal RNA
Source: RNAcentral
AAAGUUGAAAAGUACUUUGAAGAGAGAGUAAACAGUGCGUCGGACCGCUCAGAGGUAAACGGGUGGAGUUGAACUGCAAGCUCUGGGAAUUCAGCUGAUGAGUGUAUUAUGGGCUUGGCUAUGUUGGUUGGACACUGAAGUCUGCUUAGCUGCAGGUUCUUGCCUUCGGGUGAGGAUGUGCGAGGCACUUAACAGGUGUUGCACGCUUUGGUUGUUUCUCGGGCCAACUCGUCAGUGCACUUUUCCAGAGUGGUCACCACGACCGGCGCUGCUGUCUGAUUGUUGUGGCUAAACCGGCUUGGCAUUAUUUUUGUGGUUUUGUUGAGUCGGCAUGGCAGGUAGCUCGUUGGCUUGCUUGUAGAUGAUACAGGCGUUUGGCUUUCGGGUGUAAUCAGCUAGUCGCAAUGAUUCUGUACAGUGUGUCGGAGACGGCGGCUUGUUGUGUGUGCGUGCGUUCCUUUUGCUGGCAGAUUUGAGUUCGGUUGCCGUGUUGCUUGUAUUUCAAGCCCGGUGACAGCUCGUUUUUGUUCGGUGAAUGGUCGUAUGUGCCAUUGUAAAGGGCCAACAGUCUGUGGUGUAGUGGUAGACUAUCCACCUGACCCGUCUUG